This is a long non-coding RNA of Phascolarctos cinereus (koala), 399 nucleotides long. RefSeq lists it as uncharacterized. The record is from RefSeq and is a predicted model, not a curated record. NCBI's taxonomy places the organism in Eukaryota, Metazoa, Chordata, Mammalia, Diprotodontia, Phascolarctidae.
UUUAGCUAGACAUUUGAUGAUUCUUUGUAAUGGAGGAAAUCACCAUUAUUCAAAACACUUCUGCCUCCUACUUGUUCUUCUGUUCCUGCUCUCAGCCACACCAGUCUUGGUAUGACCCAUUCUCUUGAAUGCAGUUUCUUGGCUAAAGCUCCUGAAGCUGUUUCCUGAAUAUGCAUUUUUGAAGAUGGCAAUUCAGAAUAAGGGGAGGAAAGUCAGGUUUUGGAAGUACAAUUUGAAGAAUCUGAGACACAGUAGUAUGAAAAACCAUUUAACAAGAGAAAAAAAACAUCUAAGGUAUUCCCAUUGGAAAACAUUUCUACUUUCAUCAUUGAUCUCACCACCUAACUUCAUGCUUCCUCACUAUGAAGAACAGCAAUUAAAACAGGAACUUUUCAAUUU